This is a non-coding RNA of Styela clava, 306 nucleotides long. The record is from RefSeq and is a predicted model, not a curated record. Lineage: Eukaryota; Metazoa; Chordata; Ascidiacea; Stolidobranchia; Styelidae.
GACGAACCAAUAUGUGAACAUGGUGGAUAUACGAAGAGAGAUUGUACUUCAUUUUACAUGUGCUCUAAUGGAAUCGCGUACGAGUUUGCUUGUCCACCUGGAACUGUUUGGGACGAUGAUAGAAGUCUAUGUGAUCAUCCAUACAAUGUUGUAUCAGAGUGCGGGACGAGGCUACUAUGAAACCUGUAUGAUUGCAGUGACAGAAUAUUAAUGCCAUAUGAAUUCAGUGAUUAAUCAGAUUUUGUGUUUCAAUUACAACUUCUCGACACGCCUGUAAUUCCAGCAAGUUUCGUGAAAUAUCUUUUC